CGUCCGAUUAGCUAGUUGGUAGGGUAACGGCCUACCAAGGCGAGGAUCGGUAGCUGGUCUGAGAGGAUGAUCAGCCACACUGGAACUGAGACACGGUCCAGACUCCUACGGGAGGCAGCAGUGGGGAAUCUUGCACAAUGGGCGAAAGCCUGAUGCAGCGACGCCGCGUGGGGGAUGAAGCUUUUCGGAGUGUAAACCCCUUUCGACUGGGACGAAAACCCGCAAGGGAUUGACGGUACCAGUAUAAGAAGCCCCGGCUAACUACGUGCCAGCAGCCGCGGUAAGACGUAGGGGGCCAGCGUUGUUCGGAAUUACUGGGUGUAAAGGGUUCGUAGGCGGUGCGGCAAGUUGGGAGUGAAAUCUCUGGGCUUAACCCAGAGGCUGCUUCCAAAACUGCUGUGCUUGAGUGUGAGAGAGGCUCGUGGAAUUGCAGGUGUAGCGGUGAAAUGCGUAGAUAUCUGCAGGAACACCCGUGGCGAAAGCGGCGAGCUGGAUCACUACUGACGCUGAGGAACGAAAGCUAGGGGAGCAAACAGGAUUAGAUACCCU
This 549-nucleotide ribosomal RNA is filed under the name uncultured bacterium. RNAcentral's name for it is "bacterial SSU rRNA". It matches the Rfam family "Bacterial small subunit ribosomal RNA", at positions 234 to 788 of the family's 1533-position model. The record is from RNAcentral.